CAGUAGCCGCGGGAAAACGUAGGUGGCAAGCGUUGUCCGGAUUUAUUGGGCGUAAAGGGAGCGCAGGCGGUUUAGUAAGUCUGAAGUUAAAGGCAUUGGCUCAACCAAUGUAUGCUUUGGAAACUGUUAGACUUGAGUGCAGAAGGGGAGAGUGGAAUUCCAUGUGUAGCGGUGAAAUGCGUAGAUAUAUGGAGGAACACCGGUGGCGAAAGCGGCUCUCUGGUCUGUCACUGACGCUGAGGCUCGAAAGCAUGGGUAGCGAACAGGAUUAGAUACCCCGGUAGUCCCUGUCUCUUAUACA
Molecule: ribosomal RNA, 301 nt
Filed under: uncultured bacterium
Lineage: Bacteria
Description: partial 16S ribosomal RNA
Rfam family: Bacterial small subunit ribosomal RNA
Source: RNAcentral